Girardinichthys multiradiatus is the source of this 598-nucleotide long non-coding RNA. RefSeq lists it as uncharacterized. Lineage: Eukaryota; Metazoa; Chordata; Actinopteri; Cyprinodontiformes; Goodeidae. The record is from RefSeq and is a predicted model, not a curated record. The transcript has 4 exons.
CAGGCGCUCUCUUUAUCCCGUCUGAGCGGACUGGAAGACCCUCAGCGUAAAGAAACAAGAAGGACGGGAGGAAAAAAAAGAAGGAUACGCGAAGACGCUGCGUCACCGGCCCCAAAGUGAGGAUCUCCCGUCUUCCCCCUUUUUACGUCCAGCCAUUCCUUCUCGAGUUUGACUGUCUCAGCUUCCAUCUGAUCCGCCUUCUGGAGAAAAGCUAAUAACAGGCAGAAACCUGAACCUUUUGAUCAUUCUUUGUUGAACAUUGACUUUGGUCCCAGAAGUUUCUGGACGAUCAAGAUUACCUACGUUUGGUGGAUUUCGUUCCCAAGGAUCAAGCUGGCAGCUUCCUGUUAUUCUCCAUCACCUGAACCAAGGCAGAACCGUACCCUGUCCACCCUCCAAUGCAAGUACCUGAACAUUUAACUAAAUCCUGAACUCACCAGAACUCACUCUUCAGCUCCAGCAAAACCAUCUGGAUUACUCCGCUUCGCACACCUGGGUCCCGACUCCCUCUACCCCUGGCGACCUGACGGCAUUUGUUUAUUGGUGAAUUUACCCGUUCAUGUCCCAGACUCACUGGCUGUAAAUAAACACCUUUCAC